This 429-nucleotide ribosomal RNA is filed under the name Acidobacteriota bacterium. RNAcentral describes it as "Acidobacteria bacterium partial 16S ribosomal RNA". It matches the Rfam family "Bacterial small subunit ribosomal RNA", at positions 355 to 776 of the family's 1533-position model. Lineage: Bacteria; Pseudomonadati; Acidobacteriota. The record is from RNAcentral.
UGGGGAAUUUUGGACAAUGGGGGAAACCCUGAUCCAGCCAUCCCGCGUGUGCGAUGAAGGCCUUCGGGUUGUAAAGCACUUUUGGCAGGAAAGAAACGUCAUGGGUUAAUACCCCGUGAAACUGACGGUACCUGCAGAAUAAGCACCGGCUAACUACGUGCCAGCAGCCGCGGUAAUACGUAGGGUGCAAGCGUUAAUCGGAAUUACUGGGCGUAAAGCGUGCGCAGGCGGUUCGGAAAGAAAGAUGUGAAAUCCCAGAGCUCAACUUUGGAACUGCAUUUUUAACUACCGGGCUAGAGUGUGUCAGAGGGAGGUGGAAUUCCGCGUGUAGCAGUGAAAUGCGUAGAUAUGCGGAGGAACACCGAUGGAGAAGGCAGCCUCCUGGGAUAACACUGACGCUCAUGCACGAAAGCGUGGGGAGCAAACAGG